GACGAACGCUGGCGGCGUGCCUAAUACAUGCAAGUGGGACGCAAGGAAACACACUGUGCUUGCACACCGUGUUUUCUUGAGUCGCGAACGGGUGAGUAACGCGUAGGUAACCUGCCUAUUAGCGGGGGAUAACUAUUGGAAACGAUAGCUAAUACCGCAUAAUAUUAAUUAUUGCAUGAUAAUUGAUUGAAAGAUGCAAGCGCAUCACUAGUAGAUGGACCUGCGUUGUAUUAGCUAGUUGGUAAGGUAAGAGCUUACCAAGGCGACGAUACAUAGCCGACCUGAGAGGGUGAUCGGCCACACUGGGACUGAGACACGGCCCAGACUCCUACGGGAGGCAGCAGUAGGGAAUCUUCGGCAAUAGACGAAAGUCUGACCGAGCAACGCCGCGUGAGUGAAGAAGGUUUUCGGAUCGUAAAGCCCUGUUGUAAGUCAAGAACGUGGGUGAGAGUGGAAAGUUCACACAGUGACGGUAGCUUACCAGAAAGGGACGGCUAACUACGUG
RNAcentral lists this ribosomal RNA (505 nucleotides) under uncultured bacterium. RNAcentral describes it as "partial 16S ribosomal RNA". It matches the Rfam family "Bacterial small subunit ribosomal RNA", at positions 28 to 507 of the family's 1533-position model. The record is from RNAcentral.